CACGUAGGGGACGAGCGUUGUCCGGAAUUACUGGGCGUAAAGGGCGCGUAGGCUGCGCGUCGAGUCGGCUGUUAAAUGUCCGGGCUUAACCCGGUGAAGCGGUCGAGACCGACGAGCUUGAGUGCUGCAGAGGCAAGUGGAAUUCCCGGAGUAGCGGUGAAAUGCGUAGAUAUCGGGAAGAACACCGGUGGCGAAGGCGACUUGCUGGUCAGCAACUGACGCUGAGGCGCGAAAGCCAGGGGAGCAAACGGGAUUAGAUACCCCGGUAGUCCUGGCCGUAAACGAUGAAUGCUAGGUGUGCGUGCAGAGAUGCAUACGUGCCGUAGUUAACGCGAUAAGCAUUCCGCCUGGGGAGUACGGUCGCAAGAUUGAA
RNAcentral lists this ribosomal RNA (373 nucleotides) under uncultured bacterium. Its description in RNAcentral is "bacterial SSU rRNA". It matches the Rfam family "Bacterial small subunit ribosomal RNA", at positions 524 to 898 of the family's 1533-position model. The record is from RNAcentral.